UACGGGGGGUGCGAGCGUUGUCCGGAAUCACUGGGCGUAAAGCGCACGUAGGCGGAUCUUUAAGUCAGGGGUGAAAUCCUGGAGCUCAACUCCAGAACUGCCUUUGAUACUGAGGAUCUCGAGUCCGGGAGAGGUGAGUGGAACUCCGAGUGUAGAGGUGAAAUUCGUAGAUAUUCGGAAGAACACCAGUGGCGAAGGCGGCUCACUGGCCCGGUACUGACGCUGAGGUGCGAAAGCGUGGGGAGCAAACAGG
Molecule: ribosomal RNA, 253 nt
Filed under: uncultured bacterium
Lineage: Bacteria
Description: partial 16S ribosomal RNA
Rfam family: Bacterial small subunit ribosomal RNA
Source: RNAcentral